RNAcentral lists this ribosomal RNA (483 nucleotides) under uncultured bacterium. RNAcentral's name for it is "partial 16S ribosomal RNA". It matches the Rfam family "Bacterial small subunit ribosomal RNA", at positions 29 to 523 of the family's 1533-position model. The record is from RNAcentral.
AGUGAACGCUGGCGGCGUGCUUAACACAUGCAAGUCGAACGAGAAACGGAUUUAGCUUGCUAAAUUGCAGUCUAAGUGGCGCACGGGUGAGUAAUGUAUAGAUAAUAUGCCUUUUACUAAGGGAUAACAAUUGGAAACGAUUGCUAAUACCUUAUAUGCCUUUAAUACCUAAGUAUGCAAGGGAAAGAUUUAUUGGUAAAAGAUUAGUCUGUAUGGUAUCAGUUAGUUGGUGAGGUAAUGGCUCACCAAGACAAUGACGCCUAACUGGUUUGAGAGGAUGAUCAGUCACACUGGAACUGAGACACGGUCCAGACUCCUACGGGAGGCAGCAGUGGGGAAUAUUGCACAAUGGACGAAAGUCUGAUGCAGCAACGCCGCGUGGAGGAUGACACAUUUCGGUGCGUAAACUCCUUUUAUAUAGGAAGAUAAUGACGGUACUAUAUGAAUAAGCACCGGCUAACUCCGUGCCAGCCGCCGCCGUAA